CGACCCGGUGGUGCGCGCUGCUCUUUAAAGCACUUGGGGAAAUUACCAACCACACCAAACCCGGCCUGACCGUCCGGGAAUUGGGGGACACUCAUUCGGGUGAUGGGGGCACAAAGGGGUCGGCCGGGUGGGGUACGGUCGCCGCAAUCAACCACAGACAGUGAACGGCCCUCGGCAGGACUGCGAAUCCUGACGAGGGCCUGACCAAGUAGGAAGAAGAGAGCUUCCCC
Molecule: non-coding RNA, 230 nt
Filed under: Streptomyces tsukubensis
Lineage: Bacteria; Bacillati; Actinomycetota; Actinomycetes; Kitasatosporales; Streptomycetaceae
Description: Streptomyces tsukubaensis Streptomyces sRNA 4677
Rfam family: Streptomyces sRNA 4677
About the family: Located in the intergenic region between anti-sigma factor SCO4677 gene and a putative regulatory protein gene SCO4676. scr4677 expression requires the SCO4677 activity and scr4677 sRNA itself seem to affect the levels of the SCO4676-associated transcripts.
Source: Rfam by way of RNAcentral